AGGUGAUGAUGACGUUCUCCGGCUUGAUGUCCAGGUGGAGGAUGCGUCGGGUGUGGAGGUAUUCCAGGCCCUGUAGGAUCUGCACAAUAAAUAGGAAACCGCCGCCAGAGAAGCGACCACUUCAACAAGUACAUCCCUGUGGGCUCACCUGUCUAUGAGGCUGAAGAGCAGCUCCUUUCCACUGCAGUACUCAGAGAUGAGCACCAGGAAAUAUUUACUCAGAUCUUCUCCUUAAGCAAUAAUAACAUUAUUGGAAAACCCUCGACUCCGAUCAAAGGUGUAAGGCUUCUGUGGGACUCCCUGGCGCAGAGAUCCGUCUCCGGGCUUUCCCAGCGGCGUCCUGCGUCCCGAAGGUGUAGCCCGC
Non-coding RNA from Gasterosteus aculeatus aculeatus (three-spined stickleback), 364 nucleotides. The record is from RefSeq and is a predicted model, not a curated record. Lineage: Eukaryota; Metazoa; Chordata; Actinopteri; Perciformes; Gasterosteidae.